Molecule: long non-coding RNA, 603 nt
Organism: Musca domestica (house fly)
Lineage: Eukaryota; Metazoa; Arthropoda; Insecta; Diptera; Muscidae
Exons: 2
Source: RefSeq, a predicted model, not a curated record
CCUGUUCCACGAUCUCGAAAGAAAAUUUGUGCGAACGAAGGCUACUCACUCACUUUCGCAUAAGAAUGCGUUCCACUAACUUUCGUUCUUUCUUUCGCAUAGCCUUACGUGAUUCAGUGUUGCUAAAUAUUUUUUGGUAGAAUUAAUCGCGAAAUAAGGCAAAAAAAAGCGCCAAAUGUCUAAUUUAAACGCGAAAAAGCAGCAGUGGCUCUGUCUCAACUGACAGUUCAGUUGUAAACAAAUAAAUUGUAAAUAAACAAACAAAAUAAAAUUCCUAGUGAUUGUGUUCAGAUUAUUUGUGUUCUUAAAAAAGAAAAAAAUGAAUAUUUCUGUAGCCCUAUUUUUUAUGGAUGAUGAGGAGGAGGUUCAAAUUGUGCCACGGAGGCAUUUAAGAGAUGCUUCGAAUUUAUUUGAAGUACCUAACAACCAGUUUGUGUCUUCCAGUGGUCUUCAUGGGAUUGCCUGCUGCUUCCAAAAAUUGACACUCCUCUGGCGAACUUAGGAUUCUCCCCCAUAUACUCAACUAGUGCCCGCAGCUGUGUAGUUUUUUCGUGCUGGAAUUGAGAAAAUAAAAAAAUAUAUAUUUGUUGUUCACAGAUUAAA